UGUACAUCUUCUGUUUACUGAAUUAAGAUAUUAUAAGAUAUUUUAAAAGUUUAUUGUGCCAUGAUAUUUUUUUAGUAAAUUCAGGGGUGAAGUGUUGUAUUUGGCGUGAGUACAAAAUCGUUAACUAAUUUGGUUGGUCAAUUAAUCUACACACCAACAUAAAGCGUGGCACAUUGGGUGGUGCUAGAUAUCCUUCGACAUGGAUAUGGAGGAGCUUGCAUUUCCCU
This 227-nucleotide unclassified non-coding RNA is filed under the name Hevea brasiliensis (rubber tree). Lineage: Eukaryota; Viridiplantae; Streptophyta; Magnoliopsida; Malpighiales; Euphorbiaceae. The record is from RNAcentral.